Molecule: ribosomal RNA, 463 nt
Filed under: uncultured bacterium
Lineage: Bacteria
Description: partial 16S ribosomal RNA
Rfam family: Bacterial small subunit ribosomal RNA
Source: RNAcentral
GACGAACGCUGGCGGCGUGCUUAACACAUGCAAGUCGAACGGAAAGGCCCUGCUUGCCGGGUACUCGAGUGGCGAACGGGUGAGUAACACGUGGGUGAUCUGCCCUGCACUUCGGGAUAAGCCUGGGAAACUGGGUCUAAUACCGGAUAGGAGCCAUUUUUAGUGUGAUGGUUGGAAAGUUUUUUCGGUGUAGGAUGAGCUCGCGGCCUAUCAGCUUGUUGGUGGGGUAAUGGCCUACCAAGGCGGCGACGGGUAGCCGGCCUGAGAGGGUGGACGGCCACAUUGGGACUGAGAUACGGCCCAGACUCCUACGGGAGGCAGCAGUGGGGAAUAUUGCACAAUGGGCGCAAGCCUGAUGCAGCGACGCCGCGUGGGGGAUGACGGCCUUCGGGUUGUAAACCCCUUUCGCUAGGGACGAAGCUUUUUGUGACGGUACCUAGAUAAGAAGCACCGGCUAACUACG